RNAcentral lists this long non-coding RNA (645 nucleotides) under Bos indicus x Bos taurus (hybrid cattle). RNAcentral's name for it is "lncRNA (ENSBIXG00005011046.1)". Lineage: Eukaryota; Metazoa; Chordata; Mammalia; Artiodactyla; Bovidae. The record is from RNAcentral.
AUAGUCAGUCCAUCAGGUUGCUAAGAGUCAGACACGACUGAGCGACUUGCACUUUAACAUGUUACAUACUUCAUAUUGGUUAUUGUUGGUCUCCAAUGGAACGUACGCUAAAUGAAGGCAGAGAUUUUUAUCUUCUUUAUUCACAGCUUUAUCUUUAGCACCUAGUACAGUGUCUAGCACAUAACAAGUGCUCAAUUUAAAUUUAACAAAUAAUUUUAAAUGACCUUAUUUAUACUAAUUAGCCUAGUAAUUUAAAGUCCUGUUACUUUGUAAUGGGAAGGUAUAGACAUAGAUAUCUCAUUACUGUAUUGAUGUAAAUUUGGUUUAGGUUUUCAUCUGGUUCUUAUUUUCAGAUUCUUUUCUCUGUGCUAUAUGACAACCAACAUUGCCUUCACAAGCCCGCAAACAUGUUGAAGCCAGACAGCAAAAUGAAAAAGUCAUAGCAAAUGACCUGGACGGUUCAGUUGUUAGCCUUGUAGAAAAUCUUAACUUUGGAGAAAGCGCAGUUAACAGAUCUGAUGUGAAGUGGCGUCACCCCUCAGAGAUGGAAAUGACCAGUGACAUGAACUGGCAGUUGAGUAACUGCACCUGCAUAUCAACCAUCUGGGACCCAGUUUCUGUUUCUUCCAUCUCCUACAUGGUAAU